RNAcentral lists this ribosomal RNA (506 nucleotides) under uncultured bacterium. RNAcentral describes it as "partial 16S ribosomal RNA". It matches the Rfam family "Bacterial small subunit ribosomal RNA", at positions 30 to 523 of the family's 1533-position model. The record is from RNAcentral.
AUUGAACGCUGGCGGCAGGCCUAACACAUGCAAGUCGAACGGUAACAGGAAGAAGCUUGCUUCUUUGCUGACGAGUGGCGGACGGGUGAGUAAUGUCUGGGAAACUGCCUGAUGGAGGGGGAUAACUACUGGAAACGGUAGCUAAUACCGCAUAACGUCGCAAGACCAAAGAGGGGGACCUUCGGGCCUCUUGCCAUCGGAUGUGCCCAGAUGGGAUUAGGUGGUUGGUGGGGUAACGGCUCACCAAGGCGACGAUCCCUAGCUGGUCUGGGAGGAUGACCAGACACACUGGAGCUGAGACACGGUCCAGACUCCUACGGGAGGCAGCAGUGGGGGAUAUUGCACAAUGGGCGCAAGCCUGAUGCAGCCAUGCCGCGUGUAUGAAGAAGGCCUUCGGGCUGUAAAGUACUUUCAGCGGGGAGGAAGGGAGUAAAGUUAAUACCGUUGCUCAUUGACGUUACCCGCAGAAGAAGCACCGGCUAACUCCGUGCCAGCCGCCGCGGUAA